Molecule: long non-coding RNA, 2402 nt
Filed under: Volvox carteri
Lineage: Eukaryota; Viridiplantae; Chlorophyta; Chlorophyceae; Chlamydomonadales; Volvocaceae
Description: long non-coding RNA (VCAR_LNC003093)
Source: RNAcentral
AUGGGUGGCACACUUGUCAUGGCAGUGUGCAUAUGUCUCGUUACACGCGGUCUGGCCUCGGUCCACCGCACCCUAGGCCUCCCCAGGUUGCCAAUUGUUGUGGUGUUUAUGAUUGUUUUGGACGCCUCCUGUAUUUCCUGCCUGGAGCGCAGAGGCGGCCCCGCAGCCCCGUCCUCCAAGCCGCCUGAAGCCGCGGCGGACAGCGAUGCUGAUGGCGGUCGGGCCGCUGUCGCUGCUACGGACGGGCCCGGCUACUCGGGCAAGGUGCGGUCUGAUCUGGACCACCGGGCGUACAUGCCAGCGGCUUGGCGUGUGGAUGACUACCUAGAGGAGGAGCAGGAGGAUGAGGCAGGGCAGGGCGGGGCCGGGGACUCGCUGGCAGUGCUGCGUGCUCACCGUUUUGAGGCGGCCAAGGACCGCAAGGACGCCAUGAGCCGGGACAUGGACAACCUCGACGACUAUGUGGUGGGUCGCGAUGUCGCGUGUGCCGUUUAAAGCGGUGGUGUGAGGGCAUGAGUGAACCAACCGACUGAACCUGGGCAUGAAGGUUCUUUUUGAUUGCGCCUUUCCCACUGGUAAGUGCUUCUCCUCCACUUCACUGUGCACCCCCACGCGCACCUGUCUCCAUUCUUGAUCCUCCCCGCCAGGUGUACGACCCGCUGCUUGAGAAGGGCAAGGGCAAGUGGAGCAUGGCCAACCAAAAGGAGCAGAAGCGGCAGAACGAAUGGGCGGGGCGGGCCAACAUGUGAGGUUGAGUACCGCGCCUGACCAGCAGAUGUGCCCUCGUGUUGCGGCCACGCGGGCACAGGUUGGGUGGGCUGCAGAUGCUAAUUCAUGUGAGGCUGCUUAUGGCGACAGCGGAAUGUGUUCUAUGUUGCCGGCCAAAGCGCACGUGUUUGUCUGUGCGCUAGAAGUGCAAGUUGCUUAAAAUGCAGUGGCGGUGGUGUGGUGUGAUGCAGUCCUUUCUUCGUGAAAUUGGAGCCAUCGUAUAGGUAACAAAAUAUCCACCGCCUAAUCCUUUAGGGUUCAUUGUAACACGAUUCAUAUGACAUGCAGGAACGGACAGACAAACUUAAAAAAUCCCGGUCAGUCAGCGAGGCAGGCAGACGGUGAGGCAAAUACCCCGGGAAUGUGCUCACGGAUUUCGCACCUGAUGCUUAUCCCGCGUUCAGCGAAUCGCAAGCUUAUGCAGUUUAGGCUUUGCUGUUGGGCAUUGGCGGCUAACAGAGCUUUGUCUGAAGUGCGAGGUAGGACAGUGCUUAUAGGCAAUCUGGCAGCCCUUGAGCCCUCAGCUCGUAUUAGGGCGGUUUGCAGGUAUGGGGAACGCACCCACGACCAUGUAACACACACACACACAUAAGAUCGCGUGUACAUCUGCGAGGAUGUGAAAAUAAACUGGCGCAGCAAUGAACCUCCCAGUGUGCAUGACUGUGCAUAAGGAAGUUGUACGGAAUUCAAGGACGGUCGGCCAGUUCCUUAGUCCUGGCGGGCCUCCCGACCCUUGACCCCGUUGCAGCUGCUCCGCUCUUAAGCUGCAUCAUUUGAGACUUGACGCGGACCACAAGACAGGCUGUGUAAAUCUUUUAUAUAUUCGAAGUAUGGUCAUAUGUCAAGAGGAGAUGCCAGUGGGUUGUGCAAGGAGUAUGGAGUUGUGCAUUUGCGUACAUCCUUCGUGCGAUACACAUGCGCACACUAGUGUCCCUUACAUGGCGUAGGGCUCGAGGGGUCCCUCGGAUCUCUUGCCAGGAAGUAUAUACCUACAAGCAACGAACUGUAACAUUCUUGCCAGGACGACUGAACUUGUCCUGCUGUAGCUAUCUUAAUGUUCUUCUGUAGCUGUCUUAUUGCUGUUUAACCAAAAGGGGAAAGGGAGUUAGGCCAGCGCAGCUUCUGCGCUAUCCACGACACAACGUGCGCAAAGGGGGGCCCCCACAACCCCCGCCGCAUCCCUCUAAUGCUUCACAGGGAAUAGGUUCAUCCAGGAGAUGACUAGAUAUCAUUGCAAUCUGAUUGGUGUCACAAAAUUGGACAACGUAGGAUUAUCGUGGAAAACUCCCAAAUGUCCACUGCCCUCAUAUACCAAGGGCGCAGCAAAGGAAUAACUCGCGACCGCCUCCUCCUUUGUAUCUGAAAAGCAUGGCCAUAAGCCAAUUGCGCUGUGCUCAUUGUUUAUUUUGCGUCCUUGUGUCACGAGACAACGCAAGUUCUGCAAGGAUACAUUAUAUGCACCAUAUGUCGGUUAACAGAGUAAGAGGCUUGAAUAUUGAUGAGCAAAAACUGGCGAACGCAAAAGUCCGGCUCUCCGCACUCCAAACUACAUGGACCCAGCCUACACUACCAGGUGCACACUGCUACUAGUUAGUACAUAGAUAUUUUGCCUCGCUAAUGUACCCGUCUUCUCU